This 2290-nucleotide ribosomal RNA is filed under the name Streptococcus pneumoniae. RNAcentral describes it as "bacterial LSU rRNA". It matches the Rfam family "Bacterial large subunit ribosomal RNA", at positions 3 to 2316 of the family's 2925-position model. The record is from RNAcentral. Lineage: Bacteria; Bacillati; Bacillota; Bacilli; Lactobacillales; Streptococcaceae.
UUAAGUUAAUAAGGGCGCACGGUGGAUGCCUUGGCACUAGGAGCCGACGAAGGACGUGACAAACGACGAUAUGCCUUGGGUAGCUGUAAGUAAGCGAUGAUCCAGGGAUUUCCGAAUGGGGGAACCCAACAGGUAAUACCUGUUACCCACAUCUGUUAAGGAUGUGAGGAGGAAGACGCAGUGAACUGAAACAUCUAAGUAGCUGCAGGAAGAGAAAGCAAAAGCGAUUGCCUUAGUAGCGGCGAGCGAAACGGCAGAAGGGCAAACCGAAGAGUUUACUCUUCGGGGUUGUAGGACUGCAAUGUGGACUCAAAGAUUAUAGAAGAAUGAUUUGGGAAGAUCAGCCAAAGAGAGUAAUAGCCUCGUAUUUAAAAUAGUCUUUGUACCUAGCAGUAUCCUGAGUACGGCGGGACACGUGAAAUCCCGUCGGAAUCUGGGAGGACCAUCUCCCAACCCUAAAUACUCCCUAGUGACCGAUAGUGAACCAGUACCGUGAGGGAAAGGUGAAAAGCACCCCGGGAGGGGAGUGAAAUAGAACCUGAAACCGUGUGCCUACAACAAGUUCGAGCCCGUUAAUGGGUGAGAGCGUGCCUUUUGUAGAAUGAACCGGCGAGUUACGUUAUGAUGCGAGGUUAAGUUGAAGAGACGGAGCCGUAGGGAAACCGAGUCUGAAUAGGGCGCCUUAGUAUCAUGACGUAGACCCGAAACCAUGUGACCUACCCAUGAGCAGGUUGAAGGUGCGGUAAGACGCACUGGAGGACCGAACCAGGGCACGUUGAAAAGUGCUUGGAUGACUUGUGGGUAGCGGAGAAAUUCCAAACGAACUUGGAGAUAGCUGGUUCUCUCCGAAAUAGCUUUAGGGCUAGCGUCGACAUUAGAGAUUCUUGGAGGUAGAGCACUGUUUGGGUGAGGGGUCCAUCCCGGAUUACCAAUCUCAGAUAAACUCCGAAUGCCAAUGAAUUAUGGUCGGCAGUCAGACUGCGAGUGCUAAGAUCCGUAGUCGAAAGGGAAACAGCCCAGACCACCAGCUAAGGUCCCAAAAUAAUUGUUAAGUGGAAAAGGAUGUGGGGUUGCACAGACAACUAGGAUGUUAGCUUAGAAGCAGCUAUUCAUUCAAAGAGUGCGUAAUAGCUCACUAGUCGAGUGACCCUGCGCCGAAAAUGUACCGGGGCUAAAACAAUUUACCGAAGCUGUGGAUACCUUUAUAGGUAUUGUAGGAGAGCGUUCUAUGUGUGAUGAAGGUAUACCGUGAGGAGUGCUGGAACGCAUAGAAGUGAGAAUGCCGGUAUGAGUAGCGAAAGACAGGUGAGAAUCCUGUCCACCGUAAGACUAAGGUUUCCAGGGGAAGGCUCGUCCGCCCUGGGUUAGUCGGGACCUAAGGAGAGACCGAAAGGUGUAUCCGAUGGACAACAGGUUGAUAUUCCUGUACUAGAGUAUGUAGUGAUGGAGGGACGCAGUAGGCUAACUAAAGCAGACGAUUGGAAGAGUCUGUCUAAGCAGUGAGGUGUGAAUUGAGUCAAAUGCUUAAUUCUAUAACAUUGAGCUGUGAUGGGGAGCGAAGUUUAGUAGCGAAGUUAGUGACGUCACACUGCCAAGAAAAGCUUCUAGCGUUUAAACAUACUCUACCCGUACCGCAAACCGACACAGGUAGUCGAGGCGAGUAGCCUCAGGUGAGCGAGAGAACUCUCGUUAAGGAACUCGGCAAAAUGACCCCGUAACUUCGGGAGAAGGGGUGCUGACUUAAAGUCAGCCGCAGUGAAUAGGCCCAAGCAACUGUUUAUCAAAAACACAGCUCUCUGCUAAAUCGUAAGAUGAUGUAUAGGGGGUGACGCCUGCCCGGUGCUGGAAGGUUAAGAGGAGUGCUUAGCGUAAGCGAAGGUAUGAAUUGAAGCCCCAGUAAACGGCGGCCGUAACUAUAACGGUCCUAAGGUAGCGAAAUUCCUUGUCGGGUAAGUUCCGACCCGCACGAAAGGCGUAAUGAUUUGGGCACUGUCUCAACGAGAGACUCGGUGAAAUUUUAGUACCUGUGAAGAUGCAGGUUACCCGCGACAGGACGGAAAGACCCCAUGGAGCUUUACUGCAGUUUGAUAUUGAGUGUCUGUACCACAUGUACAGGAUAGGUAGGAGUCUAAGAGAUCGGGACGCCAGUUUCGAAGGAGACGCUGUUGGGAUACUACCCUUGUGUUAUGGCCACUCUAACCCAGAUAGGUGAUCCCUAUCGGAGACAGUGUCUGACGGGCAGUUUGACUGGGGCGGUCGCCUCCUAAAAGGUAACGGAGGCGCCCAAAGG